UCGUAUGUAUUAUAUAUGUAUGUUGUUUUUAUCGGUAUAAAUCUAAUGUAUAAAGCUAUUAUCAAUGAAAAUGUAGUUUUGUGGUUGUGUAUGGGUGAAAAGUACAUGUACAAUGCUAUUACUGGUCAAAAUGUCAAGUAUAUUGCACAUGAUGAUACUGAGAGUUAGAUACGUUGCAUGCUAUUUACUACAAUUUUCCAAUUUUUAAACCUACCCCAUCCAAUAUAUAACUACUGCUCCUCUCUCCACCUUCCACUCAAGUCAUGUUGCCAUAGUUCAACCUAGAAAGCAAAGAAACGGUUAAAUACUAAAAUAAUCAUAAAAACAAUGACUUUUCACCAUAAAUUGGGAAACUGAUAGUUAAACUGAACUCAAGUAUUAUUUAAAAUACAAAAUCAGGGAAAUAAUUAAAAACAUUAUAACAUAGGGCAUUAUUGUAAAAAAACCCAACAAAUACAUUAGUUUAACCGAUUAAGUGGUGUCUGAUAUCCAAGAAACAAAUAAAAAGGUAAUAAUUAGGUUUACAUCAUUCAAAAACACAAAAAUCAAACCCAUCUUAUCGGGGAUACAUUGAUAUAUGUAUGAGAUGUGAGGGAAGUCAGGCAUGAUUUCUUAAUAAAGUGAUGGUGCGAAUCAAAUCAAAGCCUAAAUGACAACAAUCAAUGUAAUUUUGAUUUCCAACCAGAACACACCAGCAAAAGGUAUGGAAUUGCUAUCAUUCAAAAUUUGCAUGGUACAUAUUAUAGUCACUUUUAAGCGAUGUUAGGGAAGUCCAAUACAUUUGUUAGAAAUUAAAUCCAAAAUUUAUUCUUCUAAUUUCUAAUCUAGGUUUUCAAGUUCUCAGUGGCUUAACAAAAAUGUGUAUGCUUUAUCAUAAAUGUUAUUGUGUUAUUACGUAGUAUCUAAAUAAAAAUGCAAUUUUUCAUUUUAUCAUCAGACAACAUGGAAAAACAAUAUAGCUUUUUGAGAACAACAAUGAAUCCCAAAAUAUUUAAAAAGUUCAAAAUUUUAUAAAAAAAAUUAAGUAGAUUUUCAAAACAAGGCAACAUGUAAGUAAUGUAUUACUUAUUUGUUAAUAUUACCAAUUUGGCGUACAUUACAUAUUGUUUUUCUUUUGGUCAUACUCAUACAGGACCAAAACAAAAUGCAAUUUAUAGAUAAUUUUACUCUCCUAACAUUUCAUAUUUGGGUAUCUUAUAUUCCAUCUUUGGCUAUCUGAUAAUUAGCAUAAGCAAAUAAGUCAAAAAUUCUGCAAAUCAAACUAUUCUAACAGAUAUAAUGUAUCAUAGGUUGUUGGUUCUUAUAUAGGGUGUUUAUUCGGUUGCUCUAUAUGGUUUUUUCCCUUGGGCUUAUAAGAAAUGAAUGAACCUACAAAUUUGCAUAAUAAGUGGUUCAUACUUGCAACGGUUAACUUCGUUUACAAUAUAAUUUAUGCUAUACUGUGGAGAUAUGGUUUUCAGAGUUCUUACCUGAAAGAACAAUAAUCCUUGAAGUUUGAUUCCAUUCUUCUUGCAAUAAUAAGAAAAUAUUAACACCAAAAUAGUGAAUAAAUUCAAAAAACUCAAUGAUUAACAUGAAAACUGGAAAAAAUAUAUGCGGAUCCUAUCAAAUGUGGUGCAUCUAAGAAAAAUUUCAAGGUAAUCUUCAUUCUUCUAAGCUUAUGACAUGAUAUUAUAGGCUUCAAUAUUUUAAAUGGAAAUCAAUAGCCUCCCAAAAUUAUAAAAAUUAAAAAUUAAAAAUUAAAAAAAUAAUUAGGUAGAUAAGUAUUACUUCUUUGAAGGGGAACUAUAUUAAGCUUAACCCAAUUUCUAUCAUAAUAAACCUUGGUCUUGUUUUGCAUUUGAUAAAUAGGCACUUCUUCCAUUUGAAAAGGUAACGAGAUUAUAGUUUGAUGGAUUCCAUGUAAGUGUGGAUGUGGCUUGUUCUAGAAAACUGUAAGGAAAGCUAAGUACAUAGAUAGUCAUUUAUAUUUGAAAGAAGUGUUUCAUACGUAAUCACUUAUGUGUAAAGAUGUAUCGCAUUCUCUCCUAUAUUCCAUAAGUCAAUGGAUUAAAAGUCAACACCUGCAAAAUAAUGCUAGUAAGUACAUACAUAGUCAUUUAUUUAUAUUAAAAUAUGGAACAAUGGAGUCACAUUUUACAACUGAUCAAGUUUCACACCAAUCUCUAAAAUGGAUUCCUAAAUUGUUAUAAAAACAUUUAUAAUGAAAAAUAAAAUAACACAAUUCAAACCCAAACCAUGAUUAUUUUUCACUUACAGUUUUGUCCCCUUUCUUGAUGUCAAAAGCCAUGGCAUACCUAUGUCCUAGAACUUAAAGCAGAUUCAAUAUUAUAUUUUAGAAAUUGAAAAGGCUUCCACUCCAAAAGAAGGCUUCCUAUAUUCAACUAAAGCAAAUGCAAAUUCCUUCAUUCCUAUUCAACCAAUACUACAGCAAUUGAUAAAAGGAAGGCUUCACACAUAAAACUAAAGUGAUUCUAAAUCGAAACUGAAAACUAUUAGAAUUAUAGGUAUUGGGGAAUGAAAUUUAAUCAUCUCUUAGGUAUCAAUAAGAUAUGCUAAUUUUUUUGGGUGGAUGAUUACCUCUCCAGGUAUGCAAUGUCCUUCGUGGGCAAGAGCAACAUGGCACAUAAGUUUGUAACCAGGGUUAGACUAAAAAGUCAAUUUCAUGUUAAUUUAUGAAAAAUAAUAGCACCAUCUAUCAAUAAAAUAUCAUUUGUCUCUUAUAUACCAUAAAACAGAUAUGAGAAGUCAAUUAUUCAAUUUAGUUGUGGUUGGGGCAUUUUAACAAACACCUUAAUUACUUGCCACCGAUGCAUCCUUUCCUUUUUCUCAAGUCGAGCUUCAUAAUUCAGUGGACAAACAUCUCAUAAAUAUUUUCCCCUGUUGCAACCGUUCAUGAUAAUUAGAUAUUGGAAAAGAGGUAAAAUCAUUCGAAGCUAUUUUCCCAUGUGCAAGCAUUAAUAAUUACUAAUGGAAUUUGCAGAUAGGAGAAAAAACACCAGUCAAAUAGGUUUUAAGUUGGAAAGAAAAUCCAUCGAUAGUUUGAAGUAGAAAAAGUAAGGAGCAACUAAAAUCAAUUUAGGGUUCUUAUUUGAAUCAAAAUUAGUCACACAAAAAAUAUCUUCAUACAAAACUCAUAUAUUGAAAUCUUCAAAAUCAUUUAAAAAAAGAUUCAAACUUAUCCAAUAAAAGAAAAUGGGUUUCACAAUUCGCCUAAACAGAGAAAGAACUCACAAAGGUGUACGAAUCAACCAGGAAAUUGAAUAGGAUUUUCUAAUUGAAAACCACAAAAACCAAAUUAAUCGUUUCUAAUUUAACAAUUUAAGAAAUUGUAAAAUUAAUUUUGCAUCGCAGGGAUGAUGAUGGAUUUUGAGAAAAAAUUACUGAAGAAAAGGACGCGUAUCAAUAAGCAAAUUAUCAAAUUACCCUGUGAAAUCGGUAACGAUGAACCGUCUUCAAUGAUAACAUUUAUUUUGUAUGGAGGACUGUAGAAUCUCGCGGGAAGGUAAUUGGCGUGAUGGUAAGCAAUAUUUCCGAACAAGUAUCCCAUGGCGUUGGUUCAGAGAUGCCGAACGAGUCUCGCAAUUCCAUGGCGUCGGUUCAGAGAAUGGCGACAUGGCGUCCAAUGAACACGGUGAAAUUGG
Molecule: long non-coding RNA, 3644 nt
Filed under: Lactuca sativa (garden lettuce)
Lineage: Eukaryota; Viridiplantae; Streptophyta; Magnoliopsida; Asterales; Asteraceae
Description: long non-coding RNA (LSAT_LNC005501)
Source: RNAcentral